UCGAUCGGAAAAGAAUCAUAGUUGGCAGACUGUUCGCUAUCAAUCUCUUCAUGGUGCUGCUUGCUUGUAAAGCCCUUUUAGCUAGAAACUCUGCAGCAACAGUCUAAGCCACGUUGGCAUCUUUCUCUCUCCAGAAUUGUGAUAUGUUUCUUCUGUACUAAACUUCAGUUUCAGGAUUCUGGUGGUUCUUGGUCGUUCUCUGUCAAAGCCAGUAAUGCCACUUGUUGUUUGCUGUUGCUGAGACGAAACAUUCAGGUUUCAUCAUGACACUUCUGGGGAAAGCAAACUUAUUUGCUCUUGUUUCAAUGUUCUGUUGUGCCUUGAAGUUUUGCGUUGGAGGGGAUGUCAUCGCAGCAACUGAGCACAUCCAAGACCCCGGAAGUAUAACGUCAAGUGGAGGUCUCUACAAAUUAGGGUUCUUUAGCCCGAAUGGUUCUGCAAAUCGGUAUGUUGGAAUUUGGCCCAACAAGAUCCCCGCAUAUAGUGUCCUCUGGGUUGCCAACCGUGAUAAACCAAUUUUAGAUUCUACUGGGGUCCUGACGAUAUCCGAUGAUGGUAAUCUGGUGCUAAUGAGUGGGAAGAAGGAAGUUAUUUGGUCAUCAAACGUUUCAACCUCCAUAACAAACUCAAGUGCCCAAAUAUUAGAUUCGGGAAACCUCGUCUUGACAAAAAGAAGUUCGAGUUCUGUUGCAAAUGAUUCAGGCAUACUCUGGCAAAGUUUUGACCAUGGGUCCGACUCAUUUCUCUCAACAAUGAAGCUCAGCACUAACGUAAGAACAAAUGAGAAGAACGUACUCACAUCCUGGGAAAGCCCUUCUGAUCCAGCGAUGGGAAGCUUCUCAAUGAGUCUCGAACCGCUGAACAUUCCUGAACUUUUCAUUUGGAAUGGCAGUACGUUGUAUUGGCGGAGUGGUCCAUGGAAUGGUGGUAUCUUCAUUGGAAUAUAUCACAUGUAUUUGUCCUAUCUUGAUGGGUGGACCAUAGUAGAUGACAAGGAAGGAACUAUCUAUCUAACUUACGGUUUUGCUGAGGCAUCUUAUAUUUCGUACUUUUUAUUAAAGUCAAAUGGUAUUUUUGUGCAGCCAUACUGGCACGAAAACAAGAAUGAUUGGCAGAUUGUUUGGUCGUCUCAGGAUAGUCAUUGUGAUGUUUAUGGCACAUGUGGGCCAUUCGGAAUCUGUGACGCCAACACAGUACCUAUUUGCAGCUGCUUGAGAGGCUUCGAGCCUAAGAACAUCGAAGAAUGGGGGAGAGGGAAUUGGUCUGCGGGAUGUGUCCGGAGGUCAUCGCUUCAAUGCGAAAGGAUUAUUAAUGGAAGAACAAAAGCAGGAAAAGAGGACGGAUUUUUGAAGAUAGAGAAUGCAAAAGUGCCUUAUUAUGCAGUUUGGUUUUCCCCUUUGGGAGACCAAUGUCAGAAGCUGUGCUUAAAUAACUGUUCGUGUGUAGCAUAUGCAUAUUACGCUGGCAUCGGUUGCAUGUACUGGAGCGGAGACUUAAUCGACAUACAGAAGUUCCCCAUUGCGGGAGCUGAUCUUUACAUCCGACUGGCCCACACAGAACUUGGAAAAGAAAAAAAUUGAAAGGAUAUGAUAUCACAUGCUUGUUGGCUGUGAUCUUCCAAGUCCAACCGCUAGCUGUUUCUUCUUUUGAUACCCUCAACAUUAGAUGCUGAAUGAGGGUUGACAAAAAGCAUUUUGUUCAGCAGCUGCUUAUGUCAUCAAUCGGAUAUGCAGGUGAAAAGAGAGACAUGAGAGCAAUCAUAGCAACUGCUGUGAUUUUGGGAACAAUUGUUUUCAUUGUUCUGUGCUUUUACUGGAGUAAGUUGAAGACACAACGAGCAGCAAGAAGACGCACGGAAGGAGAAGCCUCAUUAGCAGUUUCUGGCGAAAACAUGCUUGGAGAGAAACUGGGCAAAGCUAAUGUCCAGGAGCUAGUACUAUAUAAAUUGGAAGAAUUGGCCACAGCAACAAGUAACUUCAGCGACACCAGUAAGCUAGCGCAGGGUGGUUUUGGGCCAGUAUACAAGGGGAGACUGUCAAAUGGCAAAGAAAUAGCAGUCAAAAGACUAUCCAAAACUUCAGCACAAGGGUUCCAGGAAUUCAUGAAUGAAAUGGAGGUCAUUUGUAAGGCAUGGAAGUUGUGGAAAGAAGACAAUGCUCUAGCACUAGCAGACCCAAAAAUAUCUGUUACAUGCUUUGAAACAGAGGUUUUAAGAUGCAUAAAUGUGGGUCUUCUUUGCACACAACUUGCAAAUGAUAGGCCC
This is an RNA transcript of Rhodamnia argentea, 2263 nucleotides long. It is a transcript of the gene named G-type lectin S-receptor-like serine/threonine-protein kinase SD1-13, with no coding region annotated. The transcript has 5 exons. Lineage: Eukaryota; Viridiplantae; Streptophyta; Magnoliopsida; Myrtales; Myrtaceae. The record is from RefSeq and is a predicted model, not a curated record.